This 803-nucleotide unclassified non-coding RNA is filed under the name uncultured Bartonella sp. RNAcentral describes it as "partial 16S-23S ribosomal RNA intergenic spacer". The stretch from base 352 to 424 matches the Rfam family "tRNA". Lineage: Bacteria; Pseudomonadati; Pseudomonadota; Alphaproteobacteria; Hyphomicrobiales; Bartonellaceae. The record is from RNAcentral.
CCUCCCAGGCCCACCAAUUAUCCAUCCAUAGAAAAGCGCUUAGAAAGUUUGACUGUUAACAGGUCAACGUUGUUUUGUAGGACGUCAAUAUUGUCUUGAAAAAGAGCUUUCUUGUAAAGUUUGAGAAAACUUGUUUAUCGCUUUUUGUAAGAUGUGGUGUUUGUCUGUUUUUAAAGCGAUCGAAACUGAAAGUGUUUCAAAGAUAAGAGUUUUGGAACAGAAGAGUCUUGGAACAGAAAAGAAUAUAAAGUCUAGGUGGUAUUACAUAGUCUAAAGUUAAAUUGUUCAUGAUUGGAGCAUUUCAUAUUGGAAUGCUGCGAUAUAAAGGUUUCGAAUAAAUUAUUCCGUUUUGGGGCCGUAGCUCAGCUGGGAGAGCACCUGCUUUGCAAGCAGGGGGUCGUCGGUUCGAUCCCGUCCGGCUCCACCAUUUUGUCAUCAUCAUUGUUGUGAGAACAGGUUUUAGUGAAAGGUUGAGUAACCUUUCGCUUGUUCUAUUGAAAUUGUGAAGAGAAGAUAUAUUCAGACAUGUUCUUUUUGAACUGUUUGUUUUGAAGGCAAGAGCUUUUUUCAUGGGAAAUAAUUAUGAGGAAUGCUUGUUAAAAAAUGCUUUCAGAAAAUGAUCUGGAAAGCAGAUCUAAAAAACAAAUGGGUCUUUUGUUUGUUUUGAAAUUGUCGAGAAAGCUGUUUUUAUAAAAUAGUUGUUCAAAAAUGUCAAAAAGCCAUGCAACGAGGGGACUGUGUAAGCCAAAAGCACCAAAAGCAUAAGCAGGAAACAAGUUGUGUCGCAUGAGACGUAGCCAAAA